UACGUAGGGUGCAAGCGUUGUCCGGAAUUAUUGGGCGUAAAGGGCGCGUAGGCGGCUCGGCACGUCCGUUGUGAAAUCGCCCGGCUCAACUGGGCGGGGUCGGCGGAUACGGCCGAGCUGGAGCAAGCUAGGGGGUAAUGGAAUUCCCGGUGUAGUGGUGGAAUGCGUAGAUAUCGGGAGGAACACCAGUGGCGAAGGCGGUUACCUGGAGCUUUGCUGACGCUGAUGCGCGAAAGCGUGGGGAGCGAGCCGG
This 253-nucleotide ribosomal RNA is filed under the name uncultured bacterium. RNAcentral describes it as "partial 16S ribosomal RNA". It matches the Rfam family "Bacterial small subunit ribosomal RNA", at positions 524 to 776 of the family's 1533-position model. The record is from RNAcentral.